GGGAACGUGGGGCCAGCUGCUGCUGGUGAAGUGUUUGCAGGAUUCAGGGAAAUCUGGGCCUUUUUGAGCCACUAUUUCCCUGUUGUUCAAGCUCAUGAGCAAGCUCCAGUUGAGUUACUUGCACUUCUUGGACCAGGUAUUCUGUGUAGCAGCCCAGGUGCCAUACAGAUGUCAAGAGAUGCUAAUGAGGCCGCUUCACUUUGCACCGUGACCCUGGCACGGCGCGUGCCAGCACCAGCGAGGGGAUGGACUGGAGCAGCUGCCCUCCCCAGGGCCAAGCCAUUAUCACCAAAACUACAGAAAACCCCAGAUCUUCCUGCUGAAGAAUGGCUGAAGAGACCCAGCACCGUCCCAGCCACGUCACUCCAGCCACUGUGAAAACUCCUUCUGGUCUUUGGUCCUGUUCUGGGAAGCUCACAUGUGACCCAGGUGUAAUUGUGGCCUUCACAGCCAGCACUGGUGGGAUUGUUGGGACACCUGCGAGCUGGAAUGUGUCUCACAGGUUGGAAAACGUGCUUUAUAGCUACAUAAAAGGUAAAGAGAAUACAGAGCUGUAAGAUUAUUUUAAAGAGAAGCCAGGAAAAACUAUGGCUGUGACUGCUCAGCAAGCAGGGAAUUUAAUUCAUAAAACAAAUGUGUUUGAAAACAAAAAACCACGAUGCUCCCUGCUUUCUCAUUGAUUUUUCAUGUCAUAUAACUCACCUUUGGUGCACUCAGUUAUCCAGAAAGGGUUUUCGUACAGUAAGCUAUUCAUGUGUACACACAUAUAGAUAUUUGAGGUAUAAUUUCCCUGCAGUAACUUUGUAUUCCUGCAUGAAGCUAAAUGAAGAAUUGACCCCAAUUCUUUGACUGCACAAGAGCAGGAGGCCUAAUGGCUCUCCUGUGCUUAGAUAUAUUUGCUGAAAGGAGUUUAAUAACAUAAUAAUGUUGCUGCCUUCCGCUGUCAUUUCUUAGGUUUUCUAUCAUCUGGUUGAUUGGAACGCAUUCCCAAAAGAGUUCUGGUAUUCUAGUCCAUUUCCUAAUCCAAUAGUUUCAUUACUUAUGUAAUUUUCCUCGUCCUGUGGGGGAAGGACAUGCAUAUUAUUGUUCAUUCCAUGCAGAUUUGGAAAUCAAAAUCAUAUCAUAGUCCCAUUUCCCAUCCUCCCUCUACUUAAUUCCCUUUUAUCUGGUCACUUGGAUGCCAUCAUGCUGGUACUUUCUUACCAAGGAAGUUGUGUUAUCAAAUAAAUCAAAUUUUUUUGACAAACAGUGGAGGCUUUAGGAGAUUGCACCACGUUCACCACCCCAGCUGCUGAGUUUCCCUGAUUGCUGUCGUAGUUUUGUUGCACUAAUCAGCCACAAGAUUAUAACAGUCAUGUAAGGCAAGCAAUUACUAGGUUUCCUGGGAUAGUCCAACCACAGGGACUAUUCCUAAUUUAAAGGAGCUGUAACUGCCAGUGUACAUGUAUGUAUUUCUCUUAAACAUUUCUAACUAUAGUUAUGAAGUGAAAUAAUAAAUUGUAUUCCCUCUUGUUCUCCUGCCUAAGCCUGGAAUU
This is a long non-coding RNA of Passer montanus (Eurasian tree sparrow), 1535 nucleotides long. RefSeq lists it as uncharacterized. The record is from RefSeq and is a predicted model, not a curated record. Lineage: Eukaryota; Metazoa; Chordata; Aves; Passeriformes; Passeridae. The transcript has 3 exons.